RNAcentral lists this ribosomal RNA (258 nucleotides) under uncultured bacterium. Its description in RNAcentral is "partial 16S ribosomal RNA". It matches the Rfam family "Bacterial small subunit ribosomal RNA", at positions 98 to 354 of the family's 1533-position model. The record is from RNAcentral.
CGGCACGGGUGAGUAACACGUAUGCAACCUGGCCGCCACAGGGGGAUAACCCGCGGAAACGCGGCCUAAUACCCCGUGACGCCACCGGAGGGCAUCCUCCGGUGGCCAAAGGAGCGAUCCGGUGGCGGAUGGGCAUGCGGCGCAUUAGCUAGACGGCGGGGUGACGGCCCACCGUGGCGACGAUGCGUAGGGGUUCUGAGAGGAAGGCCCCCCACACUGGGACUGAGACACGGCCCAGACUCCUACGGGAGGCAGCAG